GGCGAACGGGUGAGUAACACGUAGGUGAACUGCCCUUGGGCUGGGGAUAGCCUGUGGAAACACAGGGUAAUACCGAAUGAGGUCCGGAGAUUUUGAUCACCGGAUGAAAGGGGCUAAGGCCUCGCCUGAGGAUGUGCCUGCGGCUGAUUAGCUAGUUGGUGAGGUAAUGGCUCACCAAGGCGACGAUCAGUAGCCGGCCUGAGAGGGUGGACGGCCACACUGGGACUGAGAUACGGCCCAGACUCCUACGGGAGGCAGCAGCUAAGAAUCUUCCGCAAUGGACGAAAGUCUGACGGAGCGACGUCGCGUGGGUGAUGAAGGCGGAAACGUUGUAAAGCCCUUUUAUAGACGAGGAAUAAGCAUGGGAGGGAAUGCCCGUGUGAUGACGGUAGUCUGUGAAUAAGCCCCGGCUAAUUACGUGCCAGCAGCCGCGGUAACACGUAUGGGGCGAGCGUUGUUCGGAAUUAUUGGGCGUAAAGGGUAUGCA
This 487-nucleotide ribosomal RNA is filed under the name uncultured Spirochaetota bacterium. RNAcentral describes it as "bacterial SSU rRNA". It matches the Rfam family "Bacterial small subunit ribosomal RNA", at positions 97 to 573 of the family's 1533-position model. The record is from RNAcentral. Lineage: Bacteria; Pseudomonadati; Spirochaetota.